Mastomys coucha (southern multimammate mouse) is the source of this 403-nucleotide long non-coding RNA. RefSeq lists it as uncharacterized. The transcript has 3 exons. NCBI's taxonomy places the organism in Eukaryota, Metazoa, Chordata, Mammalia, Rodentia, Muridae. The record is from RefSeq and is a predicted model, not a curated record.
GUCUGCGCAGGGGUGAGGUCAGUCCAGCCUUCACGGUGUUGUGUGCUCCGUCUGAAGAUAACCUCAGAGAAGCCUUCGGAUCGAUGGCCUCCUCUGGCCACUGGCGGUUCUUCAGGAGGCAGAAGUCACAGAACGGCUUUGCAACUCCAGCUCAGCGGCUGACACAGAGGACAAACUCUUUUUUUUUUCCUUUUUGGGGAGGUCAGGAUACAAGCAUGAAGAAAGAGUUGGGGACAGGCCAGCUAGAAUGCUCAGUGGACAAAGGUGCUUGCUGCCAAGAGUGAGCCCUAUGGUCUGAUCAGGACCCACACCGUGGAAAGAGAACUGACUUCCUCCGACGGAUGGCCACACACAGAUCGUGGCACAUCUUAUUUAAAGAUAUUAAAAGAGUCAUUUAUAGGUA